GCUACAGACGUGAGAAGGGCUUCCGCGACGGUGACGUUCGGGGGCCUUUUUCUUUUGCGGU
This 61-nucleotide antisense RNA is filed under the name Mesorhizobium metallidurans STM 2683. RNAcentral describes it as "ctRNA_p42d". The stretch from base 13 to 58 matches the Rfam family "ctRNA". Rfam says of the family: This family represents a group of ctRNAs (or counter-transcribed RNAs) from p42d and related plasmids. ctRNAs are small, highly structured, antisense sequences which are involved in negative regulation. Members of this family are known to bind to the mRNA of repC causing translational repression. The record is from RNAcentral. Lineage: Bacteria; Pseudomonadati; Pseudomonadota; Alphaproteobacteria; Hyphomicrobiales; Phyllobacteriaceae. RNAcentral also lists the same sequence under 1 other name.